Long non-coding RNA from Salvelinus fontinalis (brook trout), 7344 nucleotides. RefSeq lists it as uncharacterized. The record is from RefSeq and is a predicted model, not a curated record. The transcript has 2 exons. NCBI's taxonomy places the organism in Eukaryota, Metazoa, Chordata, Actinopteri, Salmoniformes, Salmonidae.
UGAUUACCUGUAGGGGAGCACCAAGCAAUGAUAAACAGUUAUAAGAUGUAAUUCCAUCACCAUAACACCAAUUAAUACUGAAUAUAUUACAUCACAUAUAUUAAGGCCCUAAAUAAGAUAUGUUGGAUGAAUAUUUCAUAUACUAAUCAAAAAAAGAUAACAUUCAGUGUGCUUCCUGGCUAUAGCCUUCCACUUCUUCACAAUUCUCAACUCAGACAUGCAGUUGGCAUGUCUGAGUAUCAUGUGAACUACAUCAAGAAAGGCUCUUACGGUAAUCAGUUUACUGAUAUAUGAAGAGAGCUUUCAGGAACAAUAGCCAGACAACCGAAUUCUACGCAGACAAGUGUAAUGUUGCUCUUCAUUGUGUGUGGUGAGCAGGGAAAUAAAUGUAGUCAGAGCCACAAUUAUUGGCACCCUUGAUAAAGAUGAGCAAAUAAAAUACAAAUUCUGUAUGGAGGAAUGGUCUAAGAUCCCUCCCAAUGUGUUCUCCAAUCUCAUAAAUCAUUUUAGUUCCGUUAUAAGGUCAGACAACUGCAGUUGGCGAAAAGGCAUUUUUUUUUAUAGGUAUUACGUGUCAAACAAAUUCUUUCUCUGAUAAAUUGUAUUAGUAUAAAAUAAUAUAAUUUCCCCCUUUCUUAAAGCAUACAAUAUACCUCAGUAUUUGUAUUAUUUAUUUUAGUCUUUUUUGCUCAUCAUCAAGGGCACCAAUAAUUGUGUAUUCUGUUCUAUAGAGGGCAGUGUCAGAGUAACUUACUGGGAUUUUGUUGGGGUGCUGGUCACGGAUUUGAUGCACCUCUUUGCAACGAUCAGCUGCAGAUAAGAAUUUGUACAUAUUUACACAGGGAUGUCACGGUCUCUUUCUCAAUGGAGCACUGUAUUUUACAAUAUAUGAAUAUAAAAUACAGAAUUAUAGACACAUCUAUGAUCAACAUUUUGAACCACACGAGAGGCACCAAUGUGUCCACACAUGGGGUGCAUAGCAACUAAAGGCUGUUUUUCCUAGAUCUGUAGCAACAGAUGGAAUUUCCAGAGUUAAACAUCCCUGUGAUCGGGUAUGGUAACUCGUACUUCUAUGGGUAAGUGAAGAUGUCAGGUAAUGUAAGAGUUUUUCCAAUAGGUUUUUAUAAAUGAAUAAAAUGCAAUGUUUUAACCUAGGCAACAUCAAAUGAAGGUCAACAUACUUUCCAAUAGAGCAAGCAGCGAUGAGCGCAAAACCUGUCAACCGUGAUAAAACUAAGUGCUUUAUGGCCUUUGACAGCCUCAAAAAAGUGGCAGCAGCAUUCAUCUAAAUGAUGUCACCAUAGUCUAGGACAGAAGAAACGUCGACUGAUAGAGAUGAGACAAUCAAUGAAAAAGUCUUUCUGAUCAGUUGGAAGAUAAAACAGAAUAGCCUACAGGCUCUCCAAAAGGUAGAUUGUGAGCUACAAGUACCUCGCAGCCCACCUAUGAGUAGCUCGCCAAGCAAUUCUGAAAGUACAUACAUUUUUUCCACUUAUUUUAGCGCAAAUUGUCAAAAAUAUUAGGUUCCCGGCUACUAUCCAAUCAAAGCCACAUUGACAUUAUCCCACCCAUGGUUAGCCACUAUUGGCUUAAAAAGACAAAUGUAAACUGUACCUAUCUGCCAAUUAAUUUCCAUCAAUAUUGCCCCGGUCUGUUUGCGCGCAUUUGUUUAUUAUUCCAUGUAGACAGUUAGCAAUGCUAACUUGUGGGUAGACAUACCUUCCCCAAUAACCUUCUCAAUAAAAUGUUAACUGCAAAGUUGGCCUACCUGAAAUAACUAUAUCAUGAUCAGAGUAUGUGAGCGGAGCAUCCCCAAUUUCACUGGAGCAUAGCCGUUUCCCAAAGGCUGGAGGGUUGGCCGCCUCGCCCGCUCCAUUUUCACUCAUUUUAGGAGCUCAGGGAAUGCCCGGCACAGCAUGCAUUUGUAGGCUACUUGUGUGUUGCUAUAGCCCCUUGCUUUAGCUACUGUCAUGGAGUUGACUAAAUAUCAUGACGUGCUGCAGCAGUAGGCCUAACAGAAACAUCGCUAGACCAACACAUACCCCCCUUUGCUUGAUGCGCAAUAAAAAGGUGUUUGAAUGUCCAAAUCUAUUCGUUUUUUCCCCAGACCUAAAUAAUUUACUGUCUUCUGAUUUCAGCAUCGACAUGGGCUCAGAAAAUUCAUUUGUUGUUUCUCUAUGACUAAUUGUUCUAUUGAGAGUAAAAACCUAAACCAGGAAAAAUAAAAACGAAGAAAACUGCCAUGCCAAAUACUGUUUAGUAACCAUUAUUUCGUCAGGAAUAUUGACAUAUAGUGUACACCAAGGACGAGUUGCAGGAUAGAGAAGAAGAAUUUGCCUAUUUAAAAGCUAUUUAAAAACUGAGUAGCUCAGGACAUGUAAUUUUUUUUAAAAAGUAGCUCUCAUGCUAGAAAAAGGUUGGAGACUCCUGAUCUAGCCAAAAGUAUGUCUCCUUGAUAUGGGGUGUGCAACUGCAAACAUGAUCAACAUAGAAAAUCAUAGGCUAUGACUUAAACAGUCAGAGUUCUCAAAAUAGGCAUACUGGUUUCAGUAAUGCCAAUUGUUGUCCACAGUAGUCCAGGGCUCUACAGUGUGAGUAUUUCACUCGCAUUUGCCCCUAAAAAUAGAUUUGUGGGAACUGGAAAAAUUCUUAACGAGCACAGUGUGCAAUUAAAGAUUACAACCUACCGUAAUCUAUUUUUCCCCUGCUGCUAAUUGUUUAAAAACUACAAGUCCCACAUUCCACAAGCGGCAUGCGCCAACCACAGUAGAGUUUUCUGUGAUGACGCAGACCAGUCAGAGAAAGGUGAACUGGAAAAUAGUAUCAGUAUAGGCUAUAAAGUUAACUUCUCUAGGGUAGGGGGCAGCAUUUUCACGUUUGGAUGAAAAGCAUACCAAAAUUCAACUGCCAGCUACUCAUCCCUAGAAGAUAAUAUAUGCAUAUUGUUAGUAGAUUUGGAUAGAAAACUCUGAAGUUUCUAAAACUGUUUGAAUCAUGUCUGAGUAUAACAGAACUUAUUUAGCAGGCGAAACCCGAGGACAAACCAUUCAGAUUUUUUUUUUUUUUUUUAGGUCACUGUCUUUUCAAUGAGUUUUCAUUGGGAAACCAGAUUUCUAAGCGAAUUGCUUGCAGUUCCUACGGCUUCCACUAGAUGUCAACAGUCCUGAGAAAUAGGUUGAGGUUAUUCCUUUGUGUAAUGAAGAAAUACGGCCAUCUUGAAGUCGAGGCACUCCAGGUGUCCUGGACAUGCGCUUCAAUCAAACAGAAGGCAUGCAACAUUUCUUUUUAAUCCUGUAUUGAACACAUAUUAUCCAGUCUUCAAUUUUAUCAAUUAACGGUAAAAAAUACCUAAAGUUAUUACAAAAGUAGUUUGACAUUUUUUGGCAAAGUUUACAGGUAACCUUUGAGAUAAUUUGUCGUCGCGUUUGAGCAAGUUGGAACUGGUGUUUUUCUGGAUCAAACGCGCCAAAUAAAUGAACAUUUUGGAUAUAUAGACGGAAUUAAUCGAACAAAAGGACCAUUUGUGAUGUUGAUGGGACAUAUUGGAGUGCCAACAACAGAAGCUCGCAAAGGCAUGAAUUAUAUUUUUAUUUCUGCGUUUUGUGUCGUGCCUGCAGGGUUGAAAUGUUCUCUCUUUUGUUUUCUAUGGUGCUAUGCUCAGAUAUUAGCAUCGUAUGCUUUCGCUGAAAAGCCUAUUUGAAUUCUGACAUGUUGGCUGGAUUCACAACCACUGUAGCUUUAAUUUGGUAUCUUUCAUGUGUGAUUUAAAGAAAGUUUCAUUUUAUAGUAAGUAAUGUUAAUUUGGCGCUCUGCAUUUUCUCAGGCUUUUUGCCAAGUGAUACAGUAGCGUCUUGCCUAAACUCAGAUUUUUGGAUAUAAAUAUGAACUUUACCAAACAAAAAAUACAUGUAUUGUGUAACAUGAAGUCCUAUGAGUGUCAUCUGAUGAAGAUUAUCAAAGGUUAGUGAUUAAUUUUCUCUAUUUCUGCUUUUAGUUACUGCUCUCUUUAGCUGGAAAAAUGGCUGUCUUUUUCUGUGACUUGGCUCAUACCUAACAUAAUCGUUUGGUGUGCUUUCAUCAUAAAACCUUUUAGAAAAUCUGACACUUUGGCUGGAUUUACAACAAGUGUAGCUUUAAAAUGGUGUAAAAUACUUGUAUGUUUGAGGAAUUUAAAUUAUGGGAUUUCUGUUUUGAAUUUGGCGCCCUGCAGUUUCACUGGCUGUUGACGAGGUGGGACGCUAUCGUCCCACAUACCCUAGAGAGGUUAAUUAACGUGCAGACAUCGCUAAAAAUGAAGCCCAUUAAAUUUUAUUUCAAGCAAAAGAGAGACGAGGAGAAAGAGGAAUCCGGCGAGGGGGAUUCGCAACUAAUGAAGCCUCUUCACAAGGUUUACCUGAGGAGGCUAACGUUGACAUGGCGGCUAACGUUAGGGAUGCUGAAAACAACAUUAAGCGAAGCUAUCGUGACCCCCGUGGUCACUAGCCGGUGGAGGGAGAACAUAUAGAUUCAAUGCGAAUUGGCUCAAAAUGUUCCCAUGGCUAGAGUUGGAAAACAACAUCAUGUUCUGCAAAUAUUGUAGAGGGCAGAAACAAGCGGGCAACUUGUCCUUCGUGUCAGGAAACCCGCAUCUGAAAAGAGAUAGUGUAGCGAAACAUAACAUCUCGCGGCGGCAUAUCCAGUGCAGAGAUCUGUACUUGUCGAGACAGGUAGAAGCCAUCAGGCACGGUGUCAGCAGCCUUGAGGAGGCAAGUGCUGCUGUCUGAGGAGAAGAUGCAGAUGAAAAUAAAGAUAAACGUCGCAUGCUUCAUUGCGAAAGAAGAAGAACCUUUCGUCAAAUUUGGGCCGCUUAGACUCCACCACAAAAACGGACUUGACAUUAAUCCCACAUACGACAAUGAUGUAAGACGUGUGGAGAUGAUCGGUCAAAUUGUUGACAUAACGAGAGCCUGUCAGCGAAGCUGAAAGCCGCGAAAUAUCCUGCCAUUCUAAUAGACGGAGACAUUGGUAUAUCCAACACCGAAUGCGAGAUUGUCUAUGUUAUUGGAGGAUGGGAAGCCAGUCAAUCUCCUGGUCGGACAACAGACCCUUGAGCACUCUCAUGCCAUUGGUAAGUAGUUCCUCUUUAUAUGCUGUAUUCUUGUGUCAAGUUUCAUCAUUAUUCAUAAUGGAGAUAAUUUAGUUUGUCAGAAACAAUUUGGUAUAAUUGUUUUCUGGUGUUGUCCUUCGAGGUGUUUUGGAUGCCACAUUUUGUGUUGUUUGCCCAGAGAAGGAUCAUGGAAGAGGUAUAUCUCCUUCGGGGCAGAUGGUGCCUCCGUGAACAUGGGCCACCGUGGGGGAGUGAGGCAGGGGGGCAUAUAAUCCCAAUCCACUGUAUGCCACAUAGGUUUGUAACUAAUAAAUCCUAUAUGAUUUAGUUUUAUUUGCUAGCAGAGAAUGUUAAACAAUACUGUGUGUGUCUGUGCUAAGUGCUGGAAUUGUAAAUACCACAGAAUUAUUGUUUUCUGUUGGCACAAGAGACAGGGGGGGAAGGAGACGGUGAAUUGUUUGGAAGAUUCUGUUCUGACUUCCACAGACUAGAGCUGGCAAUACUGACCAUUCAGAAGAAAGAGCCAAAUGUGUCGGUCGUGUACUGAAUCUGAAUCUGAUAUGAAGGCGUAUCACUUCAGCGGAAAAUCCAAACGAGAGCUCUAUGUUCUCGGGCAAGAGCUCGGUGUGGCUAUUUGCACACUGUCUAGCGUCAAGGGAACUCGCUGGAUCUCCCAUGUCCACAGAGCCCUCAAAGUGUUCCUACGGCAUGGACAAGACAAGGACCUUGUUCUGCAGCACCUGGCCGUAGCAUCAACAACAGCGGAAGUUCAAGGGCGUGCAAAGAAGGUCAGUUUUACACAGGAAAUGUAAUACCACACUAGUAAAAAAAAAAAAAAAAAAAAAAAUAGGUUCAAGACUCAAAUGAACUUUCAGAAUCAAGUAAUUGACAGGUGACCGUUUAUUUACUGACUACUUAACAGAUAAAGCGGGAAAUGGAGAAUGCACUCGUGUAUUCUGCCAUUUUCUUUCAGACAUGUUCGAGGAGCUAUCCUCACAAUGCAAAGGAAUGACCUGAUCCUCCCCCAAGCCACAGAGUUGAGGAAGACAGUGACCAGACUGUAAGCACUAAAGCUUAGGGCAAAGGCAGGAGGCAUGCUGGAGAAUAUCCAGACCAUGCUUGCUCAGCAGCAGGGUGAUGAGAAGAGAUUCCAGGUGUGUUAGGAUGAGAGCUUGUUAAAAUGUAAGAGAAAUUGAUGAUUAAAAUCGAUGAUUAAGAUAGAUUCUCAGUGUAUUCGUUGCACAGUAGAACAAUUUGAGGAUAAGGAGGGAAAUGCAGUGGAGAAGUCUUUACUUUUUUUUUUUUUUUUUUUUUAAUGGGAGACAGACAAAUGGCCAGACAUUUCAUUGUGUGUUGGUGUGUGUGUGUUAUUUCUGUUAAAAUUGAAUAUCACUAAAGGGGAAUCUGAAAGGCUUUACGGACCAUCACCAAUCCCCAGCUGAAGCAACACAUGGAGGCGGCCAUCAACAUCGGCGUGGAUGAUCUCAUAACCAGGUUCGGUGGUUUGCUGAAGGAUGAGGGUGUCCAGACCCCAGUGGAGUCUUUCAGAGUGCUAAACCCUGACACAUGACCAGGCCAGCCUUCUCACCUUUGGCGAUGAUGGUGUGGCAUACCUGAUGAGGCAUUUCAAGGAGCCUCUAGAGGCAAAAAUUUAUUUGACACUGCACUGCCAUUGAAGACAAUGUUAUUUUUGCAUAUUUGCAAACUCACUUGCUCUGUUCAAUCCUGCAGAUCAGGGUGCAACAUGGCUGCAAUCCAGGAUGAGUGAAAGGGCCUGAAAAUCCUGGUCAGCCACAAUUUCAAGGACAAGUCCUACAGUGGCCUGUGGGAGACCAUGUUGACAAAGGACCCCUACAGGCACGAUUACAUGAACAUGCUGGAGUUGGUGCAGCUUAUGCUGGUGCUGCCCAUUUCAGCCGCCCAGUGUGCGAGGCUUCUAUGCGCACAACCAGAUUAAGAAUUCGACAAGAAGCUGCCUUGGGGUCUCCACCACCGAAGACCUGAUGAGGAUCAGCCUGGAGGGGUCUUCUGUCGAGGAGAUCGAUACCACUCCUGCCGUGGACAGCUGGCUGACCUCUUAGCGUGCCAGACGGCCAACAUACAAAAGCAGCUGGACAACUGAUAUUCUUUGCGUCUAGUAGGCAUGGGUCAAUGUGUGAUUUUGGUGGUAUGUGCUGUUCCACAGAUGUGUCCCUUAGUACACACACGCAGUAUAAAUGUAUGUAAUAAAUUGUUAAUAAACUCUGUUACAAUUUUCA